This is a non-coding RNA of Rattus norvegicus (Norway rat), 3399 nucleotides long. NCBI's taxonomy places the organism in Eukaryota, Metazoa, Chordata, Mammalia, Rodentia, Muridae. The record is from RefSeq and is a predicted model, not a curated record.
AAAAGACCAAUCGGAGGUGGAAGGUGGUGCGGGGACGGAGACGCUAGGACCUGGCGGCCGGCGCAGACGGAAGCCAUACCAAGGACCCUGCAGUCUCAAAUGAGAUUCUUGCACGGUUUCCUCUCACGGAGCAUCACUUCCUGUUCAGUCUCCUCCCGCUGAGACUCCUCCCUCUUGGGCCCCAGCAACCGUUCGGAGAAAGGUAAAGCUUUCUUUGCACAUUGACUGAAAGGAGUAUCACUGCCCUCACACUAACAUGCCACACAGAACAGGAAAAUGUUGCUGCCGCGUGGCCAGGAAGCAUGCAAGUGUGACAUCCAGAACUGAGAAACUCGGAGACAUUUGGCGGUUAAUAAUGGAUUUGUAACAGGAUUUAUUGUGUAUAUACACACUCUCUUUAAACUCAGUGUUUUAAAAAUACAAAUUAGUCGAUGAAAACUGAGCAGAAAGGACGAGGGUAUGACUGAAAGGAUAAAGGAGCUUGCUGCUAACUCCGAUAACCUGGGUUCAAUACCUAAAGAUGACAUGGUAGAGAAGAACUGACUCCUAAAAGUUGCCCUCUGACCUCCACAGGAUGCCAUGGCUUGUAUAUAUGCACAGGUGAAUACAUACAUACAUACAUACAUACAUACAUACAUACAUACAUACAUACAUAAAAUGCAACAAAAAGAAAACUUUAAUAGGCAGACAAUUGCUUGUCCUGAUUAGACCUUUUGUGAGUUUGACACAAGCAAUCAGGGUCUUGUGGAAAAAGGUAACUUCAACUGAGAAAAAUGUUUCUCUUAUAUUAGACUGUACACGUGGCUUCCAUUCUUUGCCAUUGCAUAUAGCUGGCUAGAAAAAUCUUUGCAGAUUGUAAAUGUAUUUUUUAUUUCUCUUGACCUCAUAAUAUUUAGAAGUGGAACUGAUGGAUUGUAUAAUUAUUUUAACAUUUCUGGGUGGCUGAUACACUGUUUCAUUACCAAACUCCACUAGAACUGGAUAUGGGUUCAUUUUAAAUUUAGAUUUCUUGAGUAAUAUUAAAUGGUAUUCCAUUUUGAUUUUGUUUUGAAUUUCCAUGAUGAUUAAUGAUAUUGAAUAUUUUAAGAUGUUUAAUGACAACUGGAAUGUCUUUUUUAAUGAUUAAUUAAUUAUUGAUUGAUUUCCUUUACGUCCUGAGCAAAGCUUCCCUUUGAAAUGAAAUAUCUACUCAUAUCUUGGAAUAAUCUUUUGUCUUCUAAAAUGGUUUUUAUAUUCAUAGAAAAACUGAAGACAGGGCACAGAGAGUCCUUCAACACUGCCCCUCGGUGGUACACUGUCGCCCUGAAGAACCACUUGGAUUCUUCCCAACGUCCAUAACUUAUUUUAGGGUCCAGUUUCGCUGUGACGGAGUGAAUGGGCUCGAAAGUGUAUUUCACUUAUUGAAUUUAUUCACCAUUAUAAGUGAAAGUCCCCAGUACCUACUCUACCUUUUGUCCCUCCCUUUCCCUGGUAACUACCAACUUAUUUUUUAUUGUCUCACCAUUUUUAUUUUUCUAGAAUGUAAUAUAGUUAGAAUGCAUAGUUAGGUACCUUUUCCAGGUUGGUUUGUGUAUUAGUUAAGUAUAUAUAUAUAUACAUAUGUACAUAUAGCAUCCCUUUGUCACCCUCUGAUAAUGCUUUAUUCUUUUUUUUUCUUUUCUUUUUUUUCUAGAGCUGGGGACCGAACCCAGGACCUUGAGCUUGCUAGGCAAGCGCUCUACCACUGAGCUAAAUCCCCAACCCCGAUAAUGCUUUAUUCUUAAAGACUUAUCAUUUCACUUUGUAUCAUUCUUCUUACAUUUAGCCAACUUUGAUUAACCAUCUUUUCUUUAUUUGGCAUCCAGAUGGUUUUGUAUCUGCUGCACUUUUUCCUUUCUCACGACACCAACAUCCAUCUCUACCCCUCGGUUUACUUCCAGGUGCUUCCACUCUCCGUUCUUCUCCCCUAUCCCUGCUUCCUUCUCAUUUUUCAUUCAUUUGCUGAGUAAAUGUACUCUAUAUUGAGUUUACUGGGGUGUUUUCCUACUAUAACAGAGUGUUUUCACCUCUCAGUGUUACUGGGAAUUGGGAUCUCAAGAAUAGACUAGUUACUGAGAAGAUCCUAAAUCAAACCUUAAGAGAUUAUCAACAUCAAUACCAGUAAAUGAAAACAGUAAGACAGCAUAAGGUACAAAGGGUCAUGACUCCUCCAUUCCUGAAUCCAAAGAAGCUAAGAUUAUUGAAUUCCUAAGAAUUCAGUGUCUGCAUCUAAAUGAAUCAAUGGCUUAAGGGUGAAACUAAUAGAGGGGUGGUGUGAACGAAUAACAGCAAGGGAGAAGAGAAGUCGGUGGUGUGGCUAAGAAAUUCAGCAAGAGGGUCAGAUGGAAGGACAGCAAUGUUGGAAGUGAAAACCAAGCAAAAGGAGUGGAAAGCGUCCUCAGUAGUCUAGAGGAAACAGCAGACAGAACCAAGGAUGAAAGGCCAGCCCAAGGAAACUCAACACCCAAACAUCAAAGCAAAAAAAUUAAACCAGUAUGGCCACACAGUCUAAACACUCUAGGGUAUGACCAAACAGCCAAACCUAAGAAUCCACAGGCUAGAACAAAAGAGGGAGAGAGAGCAGAAAUAAACAAUGAAGACGUAGAAAAUGUAUUCAGUGAAAUUACAGCAGAAAAUUCCCAAAACUCUAGGGAAAGAAACAGAUAUCCAAACCCAAGAAAUAUUUAUCCCAAAGAGACAGAGCUAGAGAGGAAUGUCUCCAUGACACAUCACAGUCAAGAUGCUGAAACCACAGAAUAACCAGAUCAGAUGAAACAGAGGAAGACGUCAAACUCACUCCACAAGCAGCAGAGCAGCGCUCGGAUCACCAGCGGGAAGCCCGACAGCACGGGACGGUGUUUCAGGCCCUGAAAUUGAAUGACUGCCAACCAAGAUCCAGCAAGGUCAAUGUUAAAACUGGCAGACUAAACAGGAAAAGACAUAAAUCGUGUCGUAUAGAGCGUCGCAUCUUGAGUAGUAGUAUGUUAUCCGCUAAUCACAAUAUCCAAGCAAAGCCUGUUCCUGCGUCAUGCACCUCACCCACAACUCCAGCUGUUUCAGAGGCUGAGGCCAAAUUUGAAGAAACACAGUUUAAAGUCAACCUGAGUGUGAUGGUUUGUAUAUGUGCAGGCCAGGGAGUGGCAUAAUUAGAAGGUGUGACCCUGUUGGGGUAGGUGUGUCACUGUGGGUGUGGGCUUUAAGACCCUCAUCCUAGCUGCCUGGAAGUCAGUAUUCUGCUAGCAGCUUUCAGAUGAAGAUGUAGAACUCUCAGCUCCUCCUGCACCAUGCCUGCCUAGAUGCUGCCAUGCUCCCACCUUGAUGAUAAUGGACUGAACCUCUGAACCUGUAAGGCAGCCCCUAUUAAAUGUUGUUCUUACAACA